AUACGGAGGGUGCAAGCGUUGUUCGGAAUCACUGGGCGUAAAGGGCGCGCAGGCGGUUUGGUAAGUCAGAUGUGAAAGCCCACGGCUCAACCGUGGAAGUGCAUUUGAAACUGUCAGACUUGAGUACUAGAGGGGAAAGUGGAAUUCCCAGUGUAGAGGUGAAAUUCGUAGAUAUCGGGAGGAAUACCGGUGGCGAAGGCGACUUUCUGGCUAGAUACUGACGCUGAGGCGCGAAAGCGUGGGGAGCAAACAGGAUUAGAAACCCUAGUAGUCC
This 274-nucleotide ribosomal RNA is filed under the name uncultured bacterium. Its description in RNAcentral is "partial 16S ribosomal RNA". It matches the Rfam family "Bacterial small subunit ribosomal RNA", at positions 523 to 796 of the family's 1533-position model. The record is from RNAcentral.